AGUUCCAGAGAGCACGAGCUUGGAGAGGGGGAACAACAGGAGAAACUGCAUGAGGGCGAGGGGAAGAAGACAGAUUUUGAGGCGGUGGGGGGCUUAUAAUUACGCUGUGAGAUGGGAGUGGUUCAGAGCCAGGGGGCGGGGCUUCAGUGUGAGACCUGAGCCGGAGGUGUGGCUUAACCGGACGCCCAGAGCGUGUCGGGGGGUUCCCGGAGAAGAAGCGGGCACUCAGAGCGCAGGCGCACCUGGCUCUGCUCGCCCAUCGGAAGCGGCCCAGGUUUUCACCGCUCUCGUCCCCGAGUCAGUGCGCAAGCGCAUUUCCCCCAUCCUGGUCCCCGCCACCGCCUCCUCUUUCCGAUCCUCCACGCCGGCGCCUCGGGAACGGGAGCGGCUUCCGCUUCCGGGCGGGCGGGCAGGCGGGCGGCGCGGGGCUGCCGGGGAGGGGGGAGGGGGCGGCACUUCCGGUCGGGCCCUCGGGUCUCCCCGGAGCGGCGGCGCCUCCUCCGCCUCCUCGGCCUCCUCCCGGCGGAGACCCCGGCGCCGGGUCUCCCGUCUCCCACCCGCCGGAGAUGGAGGCGAACCCAGCGGGCAGCGGCGCCGGGGGUGGCGGGAGCAGCGGCAUCGGGGGCGAGGACGGGGUACACUUCCAGAGCUACCCCUUCGACUUCCUGGAAUUCCUCAACCACCAGCGCUUCGAGCCCAUGGAACUGUAUGGGGAACACGCCAAGGCGGUGGCAGCCCUGCCCUGCGCCCCCGGCCCCCCGCCGCAGCCCCCGCCGCAGCCCCCUCCCCCGCAGUAUGACUACCCGCCCCAGUCCACCUUCAAGCCCAAGGCGGAGGUGCCCUCCUCGUCCUCGUCCUCCUCCUCCUCGUCUUCGUCCUCCUCGUCGUCGUCGUCUUCGUCCUCUUCCUCUUCCCAAGCCAAGAAGCCCGAUCCGCCCCUGCCGCCCGCCUUCGGGGCGCCCCCUCCUCCCCUCUUUGACGCUGCUUUCCCCGCUCCGCAGUGGGGCAUCGUGGAUCUCUCGGGACACCAGCACUUGUUUGGGAACCUGAAGCGAGGAGGGCCCGCGUCCGGGCCGGGGGUGACGCCUGGGCUGGGCGCUCCCGCGGGGGCCCCGGGGCCGCUUCCUGCCCCCUCGCAGACCCCGCCAGGACCCCCCGCGGCGGCGGCCUGCGACCCCACCAAGGACGACAAGGGCUACUUCCGGAGGCUGAAGUACCUGAUGGAGCGGCGCUUCCCCUGCGGCGUGUGCCAGAAGUCCUUCAAGCAGUCCUCGCACCUGGUCCAGCACAUGCUGGUGCACUCGGGGGAGAGGCCCUACGAAUGCGGCGUCUGCGGCCGCACCUACAACCACGUGUCCAGCCUCAUCCGCCACCGCCGCUGCCACAAGGACGUGCCACCCGCCGCGGGGGGCCCGCCCCAGCCCGGCCCCCAGCGCCCGCCGCUGGGCCUCCCAGCACCCGCUGCCAGCGCUGCCACCGCCCCCGCCCCCUCCACGGUGUCCUCGGGCCCUCCGGCCACGCCCGCGGCGCCCGCCCCCUCCGCAGACGGGAGCACCGCCCCUGCUGGUGUUGGGGUGCCCCCUCCCGCCGCCGGGGGCGGCGACGGCCCGUUCGCCUGCCCACUCUGCUGGAAGGUUUUCAAGAAGCCCAGUCACCUCCACCAGCACCAGAUCAUCCACACGGGCGAGAAGCCCUUCUCCUGCUCCGUGUGCAGCAAGAGCUUCAACCGCAGGGAGAGCCUGAAGCGCCACGUGAAGACGCACUCGGCCGACCUUCUGCGCCUGCCCUGCGGUAUCUGCGGGAAGGCCUUCCGCGACGCCUCCUACCUCCUCAAGCACCAGGCGGCCCACGCAGGGGCGGGCGCCGGGGGGCCUCGGCCGGUGUACCCCUGCGACCUGUGCGGCAAGUCCUACUCAGCGCCGCAGAGCCUGCUCCGCCACAAGGCCGCCCACGCCCCGCCCGCCGCCGCUGCGGAGGCGCCCAAGGACGGGGCAGCCUCGGCCCCGCAGCCCCCGCCUACCUUCCCCCCGGGCCCGUACCUCCUGCCCCCCGACCCUCCCGCCACCGACAGCGAGAAGGCGGCGGCGGCCGCGGCGGCGGUGGUGUACGGCGCCGUGCCAGUCCCGCUCCUGGGCGCCCACCCGCUGCUGCUCGGCGGCGCAGGGACCAGCGGGGCGGGAGGCUCGGGCGCCAGCGUCCCGGGAAAGACGUUCUGCUGCGGCAUCUGCGGGCGUGGCUUCGGGCGCCGCGAGACCCUGAAGCGCCACGAGCGCAUCCACACGGGCGAGAAGCCCCACCAGUGCCCCGUGUGCGGGAAGCGCUUCCGCGAAUCCUUCCACUUGAGCAAGCACCACGUGGUGCACACGCGCGAGCGGCCCUACAAGUGCGAGCUCUGCGGCAAGGUCUUCGGCUACCCGCAGAGCCUCACCCGCCACCGACAGGUGCACCGGCUCCAGCUGCCCUGUGCCCUGGCCGGGGCCGCCGGCCUCCCCUCCAGCCAGGGCGCAUCCGGGGCCUGUGGGCCCGGGGCCUCAGGCACGUCCGCAGGGCCCACCGAUGGGCUGAGCUACGCCUGCUCGGACUGUGGCGAGCACUUCCCAGAUCUCUUUCACGUCAUGAGCCACAAGGAGGUCCACAUGGCAGAGAAGCCAUACGGCUGCGACGCCUGCGGCAAGACCUUCGGCUUCAUUGAGAACCUCAUGUGGCACAAGCUGGUCCACCAGGCCGCCCCCGAGCGCCUGCUCCCGAGCACGCCUGGCGGCCCGCAGCCCCCGGACGGCUCCAGCGGCACGGAUGCGGCCAGCGUGCUGGACAACGGGCUGGCGGGGGAGGUGGGAGCGGCCGUGGCGGCACUCGCAGGGGUGUCUGGGGGUGAGGACGCAGGCGGGGCGGCGGUGGCAGGGGCCGGCGGGGGUGCCAGUUCCGGCCCUGAGCGCUUCAGCUGUGCCACGUGCGGCCAGAGUUUCAAGCACUUCCUGGGCCUAGUGACUCACAAGUACGUGCACCUGGUGCGACGGACCCUGGGCUGCGGCCUCUGCGGCCAGAGCUUCGCGGGCGCCUACGACUUGCUCCUGCACCGCCGCAGCCAUCGGCAGAAGCGGGGUUUCCGCUGCCCGGUGUGCGGGAAGCGCUUCUGGGAGGCGGCCCUGCUGAUGCGCCACCAGCGCUGCCACACGGAACAGCGGCCGUACCGAUGUGGCGUGUGCGGCCGAGGCUUCCUGCGCUCCUGGUACCUGCGGCAGCACCGCGUGGUCCACACUGGCGAGCGGGCCUUCAAGUGCGGCGUGUGCGCCAAGCGCUUCGCGCAGUCGUCCAGCCUGGCAGAGCACCGGCGGCUGCACGCUGUGGCCCGGCCCCAGCGCUGCAGCGCCUGUGGCAAGACCUUCCGCUACCGCUCCAACCUGCUGGAGCACCAGCGGCUGCACCUGGGCGAGCGCGCCUACCGCUGCGAGCACUGCGGCAAGGGCUUCUUCUACCUGAGCUCCGUGCUGCGCCACCAGCGCGCCCACGAGCCGCCGCGGCCAGAGCUUCGCUGCCCCGCCUGCCUCAAGGCCUUCAAGGAUCCCGGCUACUUCCGUAAGCACCUGGCUGCCCACCAGGGCGGCCGGCCCUUCCGCUGCUCCUCCUGCGGCGAGGGCUUCGCCAACACCUACGGCCUCAAGAAACACCGCCUAGCGCACAAGGCCGAGAACCUCGGGGGGACUGGAGCAGGGGCGGGCACCUUGGCCGGAAAGGAUGCCUGACCGAGGGGUUCCCAUCCCACUCCCAUCAGAAGCCCCCUUCUGGACUCCCACCUCCCGGGACUGAUCAGACUCUCCCCCCUCCUCGCUGUUGCCCCAUCCCUCAGAACUUCAGACGGACUGGCGACCUUCAGGGCGCACGCCCGACAGGCUCAAGACUGAAUCACUCCCAUCCUCGACCUCUCUGCCCUCCCCUCAUCCCAUCAGACACUGAACCCAUCCUCCGUCCAGCCCUCGUUUGUGAGCCUCAUCAGCCCCCGCCCCAGCAGCGCUCUGCCCCCAGGACUUACUGAGGAUUUGCUGUAUUCCCAGCUUCAGUCUGAGCUGGGCAAAUGGAGAUGGACAAGACAGGUAAGUGUCUGCUCUCAGGAACUGACUUAACAUGCUCGGACUCUUCCCCUUCCUGAUGCUUUCAGCCUUCGUUCACUCUGCCACCACUUCUGGGGGCCUCCUGCCUGCCAAGCCCUGAGGUGGGUACUGGGGAAACAGAUGAACUGGACAUGCCCCUCGACCUCAAGUAACAUGAAAGAGAACUCUCAUCCGGCUGCUGCAGCUGCUUCACUACUAUGUGCAGACUAAUGGUCAUGAUACAUCUCCCUCUUAGCACUUACCCUCCAGGAUAAUGAUUGGGAGAUUCAAAAGCCCAUUCACAGCGCUCGUUGGUGCUGGAAACAGUGAGAUGUACGCCUGGCAAUGUGUGUUUAGUUAUCUCAUUUGUUAGAAGGGCCUGGGGUCCUGAAGAACAAAGGUGCUCCAGGACAUAUCGAAAAUCCACAGAAUUUGGACUCCAGGCCAGGCGUGGUGGUUUACGCCUGUAAUCCCAGCACUUUGGGAGGCCGAGGAGGGCAGAUCACUUGAAGUCAGGAGUUUGAGACCAGCCUGGCCAAAGUGGUGAAACUCCAUCUCUACUAAAAAUACAAAACUUAGCUAGGUGUGAUGGCAUGCGCCUGUAAUCCCAGUUA
This is an RNA transcript of Piliocolobus tephrosceles (Ugandan red Colobus), 4702 nucleotides long. It is a transcript of the gene named zinc finger protein 865, with no coding region annotated. The record is from RefSeq and is a predicted model, not a curated record. Lineage: Eukaryota; Metazoa; Chordata; Mammalia; Primates; Cercopithecidae. The transcript has 3 exons.